AGAGUUUGAUCCUGGCUCAGGACGAACGCUGGCGGCGUGCCUAAUACAUGCAAGUCGAGCGGACCGAGGGGAGCUGGCUCCCUAAGGUCAGCGGCGGACGGGUGAGUAACAAAGGGGUAACCGGCCGGUAAGACUGGGAUAACUCCGGGAAACCGGGACUAAUACCGGAUGCUUGAUUGAACCGCAUGGUUCAAUCAUAAAAGGUGGCUUUUAGCUACCACUUACAGAUGGACCCGCGGCGCAUUAGCUAGUUGGAGAGGUAACGGCCUCACCAAGGCGACGAUGCGUAGCCGACCUGAGAGGGAGAACGGCCACACUGGGACUGAGACACGGGCCAAACUCCUACGGGAGGCAGCACUAGGGAAACCUCCGCAAUGGACGAAAGUAUGGACGGAGCAACGCCGCGUGAGUGAUGAAGGUUUUCGGAUCGUAAAACUCUGUUGUUAGGGAAAAACAAAGCCCGUUCGAAUAGGGCGGUCCCUUGACGGUCCCUAACCAGAAAGCCACGGUUAACUACGUGCCAGCAGCCGCGGUAAUACGUAGGUGGCAAGCGUUGUCCGGAAUUAUUGGGCGUAAAGCGCGCGCAGGCGGUUUCUUAAGUCUGAUGUGAAAGCCCCCGGCUCAACCGGGGAGGGUCAUUGGAAACUGGGGAACUUGAGUGCAGAAGAGGAGAGUGGAAUUCCACGUGUAGCGGUGAAAUGCGUAGAGAUGUGGAGGAACACCAGUGGCGAAGGCGACUCUCUGGUCUGUAACUGACGCUGAGGCGCGAAAGCGUGGGGAGCGAACAGGAUUAGAUACCCUGGUAGUCCACGCCGUAAACGAUGAGUGCUAAGUGUUAGAGGGUUUCCGCCCUUUAGUGCUGCAGCAAACGCAUUAAGCACUCCGCCUGGGGAGUACGGUCGCAAGACUGAAACUCAAAGGAAUUGACGGGGGCCCGCACAAGCGGUGGAGCAUGUGGUUUAAUUCGAAGCAACGCGAAGAACCUUACCAGGUCUUGACAUCCUCUGGCAACCCUAGAGAUAGGGCUUCCCCUUCGGGGGCAGAGUGACAGGUGGUGCAUGGUUGUCGUCAGCUCGUGUCGUGAGAUGUUGGGUUAAGUCCCGCAACGAGCGCAACCCUUGAUCUUAGUUGCCAGCAUUCAGUUGGGCACUCUAAGGUGACUGCCGGUGACAAACCGGAGGAAGGUGGGGAUGACGUCAAAUCAUCAUGCCCCUUAUGACCUGGGCUACACACGUGCUACAAUGGGCAGAACAAAGGGCAGCGAAGCCGCGAGGCUAAGCCAAUCCCACAAAUCUGUUCUCAGUUCGGAUCGCAGUCUGCAACUCGACUGCGUGAAGCUGGAAUCGCUAGUAAUCGCGGAUCAGCAUGCCGCGGUGAAUACGUUCCCGGGCCUUGUACACACCGCCCGUCACACCACGAGAGUUUGUAACACCCGAAGUCGGUGAGGUAACCUUUUGGAGCCAGCCGCCGAAGGUGGGACAGAUAAUCCCCCAUGGGGUGAAGUCGUAACAAGGUAGCCGU
RNAcentral lists this ribosomal RNA (1521 nucleotides) under Bacillus sp. (in: firmicutes). Its description in RNAcentral is "bacterial SSU rRNA". It matches the Rfam family "Bacterial small subunit ribosomal RNA". The record is from RNAcentral. Lineage: Bacteria; Bacillati; Bacillota; Bacilli; Caryophanales; Bacillaceae.